RNAcentral lists this transfer RNA (75 nucleotides) under Cynoglossus joyneri (red tonguesole). RNAcentral describes it as "tRNA-Leu". It matches the Rfam family "tRNA". From Rfam's summary of the family: Transfer RNA (tRNA) molecules are approximately 80 nucleotides in length. Their secondary structure includes four short double-helical elements and three loops (D, anti-codon, and T loops). Lineage: Eukaryota; Metazoa; Chordata; Actinopteri; Pleuronectiformes; Cynoglossidae. The record is from RNAcentral.
AGUUAAGAUGGCAGAGCCUGGCUAUCGCAAAAGACCUAAGCCCUUUGAACAGAGGUUCAAAUCCUCUUCUUAACU